AUACCUGUAAGAUAGGAUCGAGAUAAAAGUAAUCGGUUUCUUAAUGAAAAGAUUAGAAGGGAUUAUGAAUUUGUUAUCUUUGGCUGAGGAGAUUUUAAGAGUAGAUGCUCCGUUAUUAUUAAGUGAUUAAUGAUAUUCUGUUUAUUUUAUUUUGUUUCUUCUGGCAAUUGUAACUUGUGGAUUAAUUUUAUAUUAUAAUUUUAUUGCGUGAUCGUAUUAUAAAAAAUAAUAAUCGUAAGAUUAUAAUAUAAAUAUUUUGAAAAAUAAAUAUUGGUUGGAAUAUUUCAAUUAAGAAGGGGAGAAUAAUGCUUGAGACAAUUACCUGGGCUAACGCAGACGAGGAACAGGAUGCUGGUACUCCCUAAAAGAAGCACGAGCCUUUUUUCUUCCGCGAACGUUCUCGAAUCUUCAUCGUUGCUCGUCGUCCUGGACAGUGUCAUCCGUCGACGACGUUCGCAGGAUCGCCGAUAGACCACCAUUAUUCGAAGAUUGAAACCAGCCAAAAGUAUCGUCGGUGCUACUUUGAAAACGAUUUCCAAUACCACUUUGUACACCUACGUGGAAAAAGAGUCGAUGAAAAAGUCGAAAAUUUUUAAAUUCUGAAAGAAAUUGAGAUCUCGUGGAAGAGUGAUAGAUUCAUUUAUAUCGAGUUCAAAUUAAUACCUUUAUUAUAUAUUGUAAUAUAAUAAUUAAUCGAAAAAUGAAUCUGCCUCAUCUUUCUCCAAGAUUUUCUCAAUUCGAAAUAGCAAAAAGUUUUGAUUACUUGAUAAAACAACGAGUCGAGAUAGAAGUGAUUCUCCCUCUUCUGAUAAAUAACAGGUCCGCCAAGCGCCAGGAGGCAAGUCGCUACUUCUUCCCGGAACACAUUUGGCAGAUAAACUAGGAACGUGGCGAGGGGAAUAAGUGCCACGGUUAAAUGCGGAGGGCCACAGAGUGGACGAGUGUGCUGACCAGGCCGACAAACGCUAACGUAACGUUCCACUGUCAAAGCUAGCAGCAUCAUAACUCCAACUCCUGGAAAAAGUAUUCUUUCUGUAUAUAUAAGUUGUAUAAUAUAAUCCUUCCAGAGGUUUACUGAUAUUUAAUAAUUUUUUUCUCUUUUUUAAUGUAACAGAAGCUCUGCACCUGUGUAUUUCUAAUCUUACAUUCAAUACUCGUGUGCAGUUGAAAAAUUUGCUUUUUAUCAUAUUUUACUAUAAGAAUGAAAAAGUAUCAUAAAUACUUUUCCUUGUAAAUUCAAAUUUGAUUCAUUGUCAUUAGAAAGAGGUGUGUCUCUUUGAACUUAAUCGAUUUUUAACGUAUGUAAGUAAAAAGUAUUUUAUCUUUUUAUUAUCGAGAAACAUUGACAGUCAUAGGAUGUGCUAUCCAGAAGCACAUAUAUAAAUAUGUACUAAGAUUUAAUAUUAUAUUUCGAUAACUGCAAAACUUCUUGAAUCCUUCAAGAAUUCUAUUGUCUAUGAUUGGAAAUGAAAAGGAGAAAAUAAAAUUGAAAAAAUUUAAUCAAUGAAACGAAAUAUUUCAAAAAUCGUCUCACCCAAACAACCAUUCCCCAAGAAGAGCUCGAGAAUUUCGAUGUUCAUAUUAUUAGAUAAAAAAUAUUUGACUCUGAAAUAAAUAAAGAUUGAUAUUCAAGUCUUCGUGAAAAUUAUUUUUCUCGAUGGAAAAUCCAAUUUGCGGAAAAAUAAUAUUAAUCGUGGAUCUGAUGCCGAUGUCGAGACGAUCCAAGAAGAAAUAAAUGGGUAUUUCAUAUAUGAAGAAUUCAUCAUCACAGAAAUAGUUUAUUCGUUAACAAAAAAAGUUAAUAAUAAACAUCCCACAUUUCAAUAAAAUUAAUUUUAUAAAAAUUUUUAGAAACACUACAAUAUUAAAAGACAGAAACAUUAUGAUACUACAAAAAUACAAUAAUUUUUAAACUGUUCAACGAAAACUUAUCGCUACCGAAUUCCAAUAAGGACUAUUUGCUCGAAUCUGCAGCGAUUUCGAUUCAUUUAGAUUUCAAACCACGUGGCGCUGUAGUCGAAAUUGAUGACUUCUCACUCUUUCUUUAAGCAGGCUAUCCUACUUACACGAAUGUCCCCUCAAAAUCAGACCAUCUCCAUAAAAAAACUGUUUAUUUUUCUUAUACAAUCAACUCUCUUAUAACACGGUUAUUUGUAACAAAAUUAUGAUACAAAAAAAAUCAAAACAGUAUGAUAGAAACAUUCGUAAUACAUGAAUCUUGUUUAUUAUUAAAUAUUUCAGUUGAUGAUAAUUUCAUAGAUUUUUUUAUAUUUUAUAAAUCAGAAAAAUUUUCUCAAUUGAAUAGUAUUCUUUAUAAGUUUGUUAAGCCAUGUUGUGUAAGAAGAUUAAUUGUGUUGUAUUGAAACCAACAAGAUACGUUUGAAAAAUUUCCAUUCUAAAAGAACUCUACUGUAUUUUAACGAAACAAUCAUAUAUGAUAUACAUAUAUAUUUAAGAAAAGAAUUUUUUUCUUUUUUUUUUUUUUUUGCAUCAUGUGCAAAUAAUGAAAUUCUACCAAUAAAUAAAAAUAAAUAGUAAAUUAAUUUUUAGAAUUUUUUUAAUUAAUCUUUAUAAUCAGUGUCAUUUUCAACAUUAUCGAGUCAGCAUAAAAUAAGAUUGUAAUAUCAGGAAUAAAUUGAAAUUGAAAUUAAAUUAUUGAAUAAAAAUAUUUCUAUUAUUGAUAUUAUAUUAAAGAAAUAUUCGAGAAAAUUAUUUUUGAUAUUUCUAAAGGUAGUAUUUUCAUCGAAUUUCGUCUAUAGGAUGAUUGCAUGGUUGACCUUUUAUGCAGAGACGUGACUUUAAGGUCAGUUUCUACUGAACUUUACUAGAGUACAUACAAAGUUUAAAUUUAUGUAAAACUUCUUUUAGAUGUUUUGUCCAUCUAGACUGGACUGCAGAUACAACUUUAUUGGCAUCAUAAGAUAUCAUAUUGUGUUUUAGUUUUAGGUAGAUCAUAAAAUAGAUAUUUGAAUUAAGUUUAUUACUUGCAAGUUUCUUACUUGGAAGGAAAAAUAAAACUCUUGAUCCUUCUUCUCGUUUAUCAAAUAAAAAAAAAUUAUUUUAUCGAUUGUUUAUUCGGAUUCUUAAUUAUUGUAAAUUGUUUAGUCCACAAUUGAUCGUACAUGCUUCAAUUUUAAAA
Long non-coding RNA from Apis cerana (Asiatic honeybee), 3139 nucleotides. RefSeq lists it as uncharacterized. The record is from RefSeq and is a predicted model, not a curated record. Lineage: Eukaryota; Metazoa; Arthropoda; Insecta; Hymenoptera; Apidae.